AGCAGUAGCCGCGGGAAUACGUAGGUCCCGAGCGUUGUCCGGAUUUAUUGGGCGUAAAGCGAGCGCAGGCGGUUAGAUAAGUCUGAAGUUAAAGGCUGUGGCUUAACCAUAGUACGCUUUGGAAACUGUUUAACUUGAGUGCAAGAGGGGAGAGUGGAAUUCCAUGUGUAGCGGUGAAAUGCGUAGAGAUCGGAAAGAACACCAACGGCGAAAGCACUCUGCUGGGCCGACUCUGACACUGAGAGACGAAAGCUAGGGGAGCAAAUGGGAUUAGAUACCCCUGUAGUCCCUGUCUCUUAUACA
RNAcentral lists this ribosomal RNA (303 nucleotides) under uncultured bacterium. RNAcentral's name for it is "partial 16S ribosomal RNA". It matches the Rfam family "Bacterial small subunit ribosomal RNA", at positions 507 to 808 of the family's 1533-position model. The record is from RNAcentral.